Molecule: ribosomal RNA, 2920 nt
Filed under: Bacillus cereus
Lineage: Bacteria; Bacillati; Bacillota; Bacilli; Caryophanales; Bacillaceae
Description: bacterial LSU rRNA
Rfam family: Bacterial large subunit ribosomal RNA
Source: RNAcentral
UUAAGUUAGAAAGGGCGCACGGUGGAUGCCUUGACACUAGGAGUCGAUGAAGGACGGGACUAACGCCGAUAUGCUUCGGGGAGCUGUAAGUAAGCUUUGAUCCGAAGAUUUCCGAAUGGGGAAACCCACCAUACGUAAUGGUAUGGUAUCCUUAUCUGAAUACAUAGGGUAAGGAAGACAGACCCAGGGAACUGAAACAUCUAAGUACCUGGAGGAAGAGAAAGCAAAUGCGAUUUCCUGAGUAGCGGCGAGCGAAACGGAACAUAGCCCAAACCAAGAGGCUUGCCUCUUGGGGUUGUAGGACAUUCUAUACGGAGUUACAAAGGAACGAGGUAGACGAAGCGACCUGGAAAGGUCCGUCGUAGAGGGUAACAACCCCGUAGUCGAAACUUCGUUCUCUCUUGAAUGUAUCCUGAGUACGGCGGAACACGUGAAAUUCCGUCGGAAUCUGGGAGGACCAUCUCCCAAGGCUAAAUACUCCCUAGUGAUCGAUAGUGAACCAGUACCGUGAGGAAAAGGUGAAAAGCACCCCGGAAGGGGAGUGAAAGAGAUCCUGAAACCGUGUGCCUACAAAUAGUCAGAGCCCGUUAACGGGUGAUGGCGUGCCUUUUGUAGAAUGAACCGGCGAGUUACGAUCCCGUGCGAGGUUAAGCUGAAGAGGCGGAGCCGCAGCGAAAGCGAGUCUGAAUAGGGCGUUUAGUACGUGGUCGUAGACCCGAAACCAGGUGAUCUACCCAUGUCCAGGGUGAAGUUCAGGUAACACUGAAUGGAGGCCCGAACCCACGCACGUUGAAAAGUGCGGGGAUGAGGUGUGGGUAGCGGAGAAAUUCCAAUCGAACCUGGAGAUAGCUGGUUCUCCCCGAAAUAGCUUUAGGGCUAGCCUUAAGUGUAAGAGUCUUGGAGGUAGAGCACUGAUUGGACUAGGGGUCCUCAUCGGAUUACCGAAUUCAGUCAAACUCCGAAUGCCAAUGACUUAUCCUUAGGAGUCAGACUGCGAGUGAUAAGAUCCGUAGUCAAAAGGGAAACAGCCCAGACCGCCAGCUAAGGUCCCAAAGUGUGUAUUAAGUGGAAAAGGAUGUGGAGUUGCUUAGACAACUAGGAUGUUGGCUUAGAAGCAGCCACCAUUUAAAGAGUGCGUAAUAGCUCACUAGUCGAGUGACUCUGCGCCGAAAAUGUACCGGGGCUAAAUACACCACCGAAGCUGCGGAUUGAUACCAAUGGUAUCAGUGGUAGGGGAGCGUUCUAAGGACAGUGAAGUCAGACCGGAAGGACUGGUGGAGUGCUUAGAAGUGAGAAUGCCGGUAUGAGUAGCGAAAGACGGGUGAGAAUCCCGUCCACCGAAUGCCUAAGGUUUCCUGAGGAAGGCUCGUCCGCUCAGGGUUAGUCAGGACCUAAGCCGAGGCCGACAGGCGUAGGCGAUGGACAACAGGUUGAUAUUCCUGUACCACCUCUUUAUCGUUUGAGCAAUGGAGGGACGCAGAAGGAUAGAAGAAGCGUGCGAUUGGUUGUGCACGUCCAAGCAGUUAGGCUGAUAAGUAGGCAAAUCCGCUUAUCGUAAAGGCUGAGCUGUGAUGGGGAAGCUCCUUAUGGAGCGAAGUCUUUGAUUCCCCGCUGCCAAGAAAAGCUUCUAGCGAGAUAAAAGGUGCCUGUACCGCAAACCGACACAGGUAGGCGAGGAGAGAAUCCUAAGGUGUGCGAGAGAACUCUGGUUAAGGAACUCGGCAAAAUGACCCCGUAACUUCGGGAGAAGGGGUGCUUUCUUAACGGAAAGCCGCAGUGAAUAGGCCCAAGCGACUGUUUAGCAAAAACACAGCUCUCUGCGAAGCCGUAAGGCGAAGUAUAGGGGGUGACACCUGCCCGGUGCUGGAAGGUUAAGGAGAGGGGUUAGCGUAAGCGAAGCUCUGAACUGAAGCCCCAGUAAACGGCGGCCGUAACUAUAACGGUCCUAAGGUAGCGAAAUUCCUUGUCGGGUAAGUUCCGACCCGCACGAAAGGUGUAACGAUUUGGGCACUGUCUCAACCAGAGACUCGGUGAAAUUAUAGUACCUGUGAAGAUGCAGGUUACCCGCGACAGGACGGAAAGACCCCGUGGAGCUUUACUGUAGCCUGAUAUUGAAUUUUGGUACAGUUUGUACAGGAUAGGCGGGAGCCAUUGAAACCGGAGCGCUAGCUUCGGUGGAGGCGCUGGUGGGAUACCGCCCUGACUGUAUUGAAAUUCUAACCUACGGGUCUUAUCGACCCGGGAGACAGUGUCAGGUGGGCAGUUUGACUGGGGCGGUCGCCUCCUAAAGUGUAACGGAGGCGCCCAAAGGUUCCCUCAGAAUGGUUGGAAAUCAUUCGUAGAGUGCAAAGGCAUAAGGGAGCUUGACUGCGAGACCUACAAGUCGAGCAGGGACGAAAGUCGGGCUUAGUGAUCCGGUGGUUCCGCAUGGAAGGGCCAUCGCUCAACGGAUAAAAGCUACCCCGGGGAUAACAGGCUUAUCUCCCCCAAGAGUCCACAUCGACGGGGAGGUUUGGCACCUCGAUGUCGGCUCAUCGCAUCCUGGGGCUGUAGUCGGUCCCAAGGGUUGGGCUGUUCGCCCAUUAAAGCGGUACGCGAGCUGGGUUCAGAACGUCGUGAGACAGUUCGGUCCCUAUCCGUCGUGGGCGUAGGAAAUUUGAGAGGAGCUGUCCUUAGUACGAGAGGACCGGGAUGGACGCACCGCUGGUGUACCAGUUGUUCUGCCAAGGGCAUAGCUGGGUAGCUAUGUGCGGAAGGGAUAAGUGCUGAAAGCAUCUAAGCAUGAAGCCCCCCUCAAGAUGAGAUUUCCCAUAGCGUAAGCUAGUAAGAUCCCUGAAAGAUGAUCAGGUUGAUAGGUUCGAGGUGGAAGCAUGGUGACAUGUGGAGCUGACGAAUACUAAUAGAUCGAGGACUUAACCAU